RNAcentral lists this ribosomal RNA (471 nucleotides) under uncultured bacterium. RNAcentral describes it as "bacterial SSU rRNA". It matches the Rfam family "Bacterial small subunit ribosomal RNA", at positions 28 to 526 of the family's 1533-position model. The record is from RNAcentral.
GAUGAACGCUGGCGGCGUGCCUAACACAUGCAAGUUGAGCGAUUCUCUUCGGAGAAGAGCGGCGGACGGGUGAGUAACGCGUGGGUAACCUACCCUGUACACACGGAUAACAUACCGAAAGGUAUGCUAAUACGGGAUGAUAUAUUUUAUAGGCAUCUAUAAAAUAUCAAAGGUCAGCCGGUACAGGAUGGACCCGCGUCUGAUUAGCUAGUUGGUGAGAUAACAGCCCACCAAGGCAACAAUCAGUAGCCGACCUGAGAGGGUGAUCGGCCACAUUGGAACUGAGACACGGUCCAAACUCCUACGGGAGGCAGCAGUGGGGAAUAUUGCACAAUGGGCGAAAGCCUGAUGCAGCAACGCCGCGUGAGUGAUGAAGGUUUUCGGAUCGUAAAACUCUGUCCUCAAGGAAGAUAAUGACGGUACUUGAGGAGGAAGUCCCGGCUAACUACGUGCCAGCCGCCGCCGUAAAAC